UACGUAGGGGGCUAGCGUUGUCCGGAAUCAUUGGGCGUAAAGCGCGCGUAGGCGGCCCUGUUAGUCCGCUGUAAAAGUCAAAGGCUCAACCUUUGAAUGCCGGUGGAUACUGCAGGGCUAGAGUCCGGAAGAGGCGAGUGGAAUUCCUGGUGUAGCGGUGAAAUGCUUAGAUAUGACAUAGAACACCAAUUGCGAAGGCAGCUCACUACGCGAAUAUUGACACUGAGGCACGAAAGCGUGGGGAUCAAACAGG
RNAcentral lists this ribosomal RNA (253 nucleotides) under uncultured bacterium. Its description in RNAcentral is "partial 16S ribosomal RNA". It matches the Rfam family "Bacterial small subunit ribosomal RNA", at positions 524 to 776 of the family's 1533-position model. The record is from RNAcentral.